GUCUUAUUGGUUACACCUGUUUCUUGUUUAGGUUUUAGUUGGGCUAUUGAAGACGGUAAUGCCCGCCUGCUCUUUGUGCGGGCUUAUUUUUUUUCCUCUGUUCAUGUUCGUGGUUGUGCGAGCGCCUUUGUUUUUCUCCGAACUGGUUGGGUCCUCUGGUUUUGGAUCGGUCUUGUUAUUGCGCCUGGUGUUUUGGCGUGACCAUUUUACCUGCGCCGGAAUAAAACAUUGUUCUUUACCCUCUGCUUCCUGCGCCUGACUCAGCACCCACUACGCAUAGAGUGUGUUACACUGUUAGUGAGCAUUUCUCUUUGCCAACGUAAUCCAUCCACUUGACAGGGUGCCAAUCAUUUUGGACAUGACUGUAAGUAUUGUCUUUAGUUGUUCAGGCUCUGGACACUACUACAAGGUACACAAAGAAAACAAUCAUCUGCCCAAAUUACUAAUCAAGGUAGCUACUAUCUUAUCUAACACAGCGCACAUCCAACCCGGAAGCCAGCCGCACCAAUGUGCCAGAGGAAACACUGUGUACCUGGAAACCUUGGUUAACGCGCACUGCACCCGUCCCACCACAGGAGUCACUGGUGCGUGAUGAGACAAGGACAUCCCUACCAACCAAGCCCUCCCUAACCCGGACAACACUAGGCCAAUUGUGCUUCACCCCACGGACCUCCCGGUCGCAGACGGUUACGCCUGGGCGCGAACCCAGAGUCUCUGAUGGCACAGCUGGCACUGCAGUACAGCGCCCUUAACCACCCGGGAGGCUGAAUUGUACAUGUUACAAAUUUUUCAAACGUAAGAUGUGUUACGAAUUCCAGCAAGCUGGCUAACAUUACCUGGGCUAGGGGUUAGGGUUGGAGUUUAAGGUUAGAGUUAAGUUUAGGUGUUAGUUAAAUGGUUAUGAUUAGCUAAAAGGAUUAGGGAUUAGCUAACAUUCUAAGUAGUUGCAAAGUAGCUAAAUAGCUAACGUUGUCUGUAAUGAGAUACGAACUCGCAACCUUUGGGUUGCUAGAUGUUUGCUUUAUAUGCCUGACCAACCACCCUACUUUUGUUUUUUGCCUUAAGUAACCAUAUGUCUUAUGUAACCAAAUCAUACUAAUUUGAGUGUCCCGGAUUUCAAUUUACUAUAUUAAAUCUAGUCUA
Molecule: long non-coding RNA, 1143 nt
Organism: Oncorhynchus masou masou (cherry salmon)
Lineage: Eukaryota; Metazoa; Chordata; Actinopteri; Salmoniformes; Salmonidae
Exons: 3
Source: RefSeq, a predicted model, not a curated record